GUGCAACUGACGCUGAAGCUCGAAAGUGCGGGUAUCGAACAGGAUUAGAUACCCUGGUAGUCCGCACGGUAAACGAUGGAUGCCCGCUAUUCGCUCGAAUGAGUGAGUGGCCAAGCGAAAGCAUUAAGCAUCCCACCUGGGGAGUACGCCGGCAACGGUGAAACUCAAAGGAAUUGACGGGGGCCCGCACAAGCGGAGGAACAUGUGGUUUAAUUCGAUGAUACGCGAGGAACCUUACCCGGGCUUGAAUUGCAGGAGAACGAUACAGAGAUGUUGAGGUCCUUCGGGACUCCUGUGAAGGUGCUGCAUGGUUGUCGUCAGCUCGUGCCGUGAGGUGUCGGCUUAAGUGCCAUAACGAGCGCAACCCCUGUUCUUAGUUGCCAUCAGGUAAUGCUGGGCACUCUGGAAUACUGCCACCGUAAGGUGUGAGGAAGGUGGGGAUGACGUCAAAUCAGCACGGCCCUUACGUCCGGGGCUACACACGUGUUACAAUGGCCGGUACAGAGAGUUGGUCGUGCGCAAGUACGGUCUAAUCCAUAAAACCGGUCUCAGUUCGGACUGGGGUCUGCAACCCGACCCCACGAAGCUGGAUUCGCUAGUA
RNAcentral lists this ribosomal RNA (601 nucleotides) under uncultured bacterium. RNAcentral describes it as "bacterial SSU rRNA". It matches the Rfam family "Bacterial small subunit ribosomal RNA", at positions 734 to 1340 of the family's 1533-position model. The record is from RNAcentral.